GGUCCGUUAGCUCAGUCGGCAGAGCGUGGUGCUAAUAACGCUAAGGUCAUGGGUUCGAGACCCAUACGGACCA
This 73-nucleotide transfer RNA is filed under the name Actinia tenebrosa (Australian red waratah sea anemone). RNAcentral's name for it is "tRNA-Ile". It matches the Rfam family "tRNA". Rfam says of the family: Transfer RNA (tRNA) molecules are approximately 80 nucleotides in length. Their secondary structure includes four short double-helical elements and three loops (D, anti-codon, and T loops). The record is from Rfam by way of RNAcentral. Lineage: Eukaryota; Metazoa; Cnidaria; Anthozoa; Actiniaria; Actiniidae. RNAcentral also lists the same sequence under 1 other name.